Molecule: microRNA, 22 nt
Filed under: Octopus vulgaris (common octopus)
Lineage: Eukaryota; Metazoa; Mollusca; Cephalopoda; Octopoda; Octopodidae
Also listed under: 1 other name
Description: Ovu-Mir-12558_5p (mature (co-guide))
Source: RNAcentral
CCGGGGCCCUUAAUGCUUCGUA